UACGUAGGGUCCAAGCGUUGUCCGGAUUUAUUGGGCGUAAAGGGCGCGUAGGCGGCCAUGCGUGUCUUCCGUGAAAUCCCUCGGCUUAACUGAGGACGUGCGGAAGAAACUGCAAGGCUCGAGUCCGGGAGAGGGGGGUGGAAUUCCCAGUGUAGCGGUGAAAUGCGUAGAUAUUGGGAGGAACACCGGUGGCGAAGGCGGCCCCCUGGACCGGUACUGACGCUGAGGCGCGAAAGCGUGGGUAGCAAACGGG
RNAcentral lists this ribosomal RNA (253 nucleotides) under uncultured bacterium. Its description in RNAcentral is "partial 16S ribosomal RNA". It matches the Rfam family "Bacterial small subunit ribosomal RNA", at positions 524 to 776 of the family's 1533-position model. The record is from RNAcentral.